GACGUAGGAGGCGAGCGUUGUCCGGAUUCAUUGGGCGUAAAGAGCACGCAGGCGGUUUGGCAAGUCGGAUGUGAAAACCCGAAGCUCAACUUCGGGCCUGCAUCCGAAACUGCCCGACUAGAGGUAGGUAGGGGAGAUCGGAAUUCCUGGUGUAGCGGUGAAAUGCGCAGAUAUCAGGAAGAACACCCGUGGCUAAGGCGGCUCUCUAGUACGGUACUGACGCUGAGACGCGAAAGCGUGGGGAGCGAACAGG
Molecule: ribosomal RNA, 253 nt
Filed under: uncultured bacterium
Lineage: Bacteria
Description: partial 16S ribosomal RNA
Rfam family: Bacterial small subunit ribosomal RNA
Source: RNAcentral